Molecule: ribosomal RNA, 468 nt
Filed under: uncultured bacterium
Lineage: Bacteria
Description: partial 16S ribosomal RNA
Rfam family: Bacterial small subunit ribosomal RNA
Source: RNAcentral
GACGAACGCUGGCGGCGUGCCUAACACAUGCAAGUCGAACGGAAAGGCCCUGCUUUUGUGGGGUGCUCGAGUGGCGAACGGGUGAGUAACACGUGAGUAACCUGCCCCUGACUGUGGGAUAACUUCAGGAAACUGGGGCUAAUACCGGCUAGGAGCUCCUGCUGCAUGGUGGGGGUUGGAAAGUUUCGGCGGUUGGGGAUGGACUCGCGGCUUAUCAGCUUGUUGGUGGGGUAGUGGCUUACCAAGGCUUUGACGGGUAGCCGGCCUGGGAGGGUGACCAGCCACAUUGGGACUGAGAUACGGCCCAGACGCCUACGGGAGGCAGCAGUGGAGAAUAUGGCACAAUAGGCGGGAGCCUGAUGCAGCAACGCCGCGUGCGGGAUGACGGCCUUCUGGUUGUGAACCGCUGUCGCCUGUGACGAAGCGUUAGUGACGGUAAUGGGUAAAGAAGCACCGGCUAACUACGUG